Molecule: non-coding RNA, 364 nt
Filed under: Rhodobacteraceae bacterium PD-2
Lineage: Bacteria; Pseudomonadati; Pseudomonadota; Alphaproteobacteria; Rhodobacterales; Paracoccaceae
Description: Bacterial large subunit ribosomal RNA
Rfam family: Bacterial large subunit ribosomal RNA
Source: Rfam by way of RNAcentral
AGUCAGACCGGAAGGACUGGUGGAGCGCUUAGAAGUGAGAAUGCCGGUAUGAGUAGCGAAAGACGGGUGAGAAUCCCGUCCACCGAAUGCCUAAGGUUUCCUGAGGAAGGCUCGUCCGCUCAGGGUUAGUCGGGACCUAAGCCGAGGCCGAAAGGCGUAGGCGAUGGACAACAGGUUGAUAUUCCUGUACCACCUCCUCACCAUUUGAGCAAUGGGGGGACGCAGGAGGAUAGGGUAAGCGCGGUAUUGGAUAUCCGCGUCCAAGCAGUUAGGCUGGGAAAUAGGCAAAUCCGUUUCCCGUAAAGGCUGAGCUGUGAUGGCGAGCGAAAUUUAGUAGCGAAGUUCCUGAUUCCACACUGCCAAG